Molecule: transfer RNA, 77 nt
Filed under: Acidobacteriota bacterium
Lineage: Bacteria; Pseudomonadati; Acidobacteriota
Also listed under: 3 other names
Description: tRNA-Pro
Rfam family: tRNA
About the family: Transfer RNA (tRNA) molecules are approximately 80 nucleotides in length.
Source: RNAcentral
CGGGACGUGGCGCAGUCUGGUAGCGCACUUGACUGGGGGUCAAGUGGUCGGAGGUUCAAAUCCUCUCGUCCCGACCA